GACGUAGGGCGCGAGCGUUGUCCGGAAUUAUUGGGCGUAAAGAGCUCGUAGGCGGUUCGUCGCGUCGGCUGUGAAAACCUGAGGCUCAACCUCAGGCCUGCAGUCGAUACGGGCGGACUUGAGUACUGCAGGGGAGACUGGAAUUCCUGGUGUAGCGGUGAAAUGCGUAGAUAUCAAGAGGAACACCUGAGGUGAAGACGGGUUGCUGGGCUGACACUGACGCUGACAGCGCGAAAGCUAGGGGAGCAAACGGG
RNAcentral lists this ribosomal RNA (254 nucleotides) under uncultured bacterium. RNAcentral describes it as "partial 16S ribosomal RNA". It matches the Rfam family "Bacterial small subunit ribosomal RNA", at positions 524 to 776 of the family's 1533-position model. The record is from RNAcentral.